RNAcentral lists this ribosomal RNA (528 nucleotides) under uncultured bacterium. Its description in RNAcentral is "bacterial SSU rRNA". It matches the Rfam family "Bacterial small subunit ribosomal RNA", at positions 9 to 531 of the family's 1533-position model. The record is from RNAcentral.
GAGUUUGAUCAUGGCUCAGAUUGAACGCUGGCGGCAGGCUUAACACAUGCAAGUCGAGCGGGGUGAUGUAGCUUGCUACAUUACCUAGCGGCGGACGGGUGAGUAAUGCUUAGGAAUCUGCCUAUUAGUGGGGGACAACAUUCCGAAAGGAAUGCUAAUACCGCAUACGCCCUACGGGGGAAAGCAGGGGAUCUUCGGACCUUGCGCUAAUAGAUGAGCCUAAGUCAGAUUAGCUAGUUGGUGGGGUAAAGGCCUACCAAGGCGACGAUCUGUAGCGGGUCUGAGAGGAUGAUCCGCCACACUGGGACUGAGACACGGCCCAGACUCCUACGGGAGGCAGCAGUGGGGAAUAUUGGACAAUGGGCGAAAGCCUGAUCCAGCCAUGCCGCGUGUGUGAAGAAGGCCUUUUGGUUGUAAAGCACUUUAAGCGAGGAGGAGGCUACUUAGAUUAAUACUCUAGGAUAGUGGACGUUACUCGCAGAAUAAGCACCGGCUAACUCUGUGCCAGCAGCCGCGGUAAUACAGAGG